This 253-nucleotide ribosomal RNA is filed under the name uncultured bacterium. Its description in RNAcentral is "partial 16S ribosomal RNA". It matches the Rfam family "Bacterial small subunit ribosomal RNA", at positions 524 to 776 of the family's 1533-position model. The record is from RNAcentral.
UACGUAGGGUGCGAGCGUUGUCCGGAAUUAUUGGGCGUAAAGGGCUCGUAGGCGGUUUGUUGCGUCGGGAGUGAAAACCUCGGGCUUAACUCGGGGCUUGCUUUCGAUACGGGCAGACUUGAGGCAUUCAGGGGAGAACGGAAUUUCUGGUGUAGCGGUGAAAUGCGCAGAUAUCAGAAGGAACACCGGUGGCGAAGGCGGUUCUCUGGGAAUGUUCUGACGCUGAGGAGCGAAAGUGUGGGGAGCGAACAGG